RNAcentral lists this ribosomal RNA (743 nucleotides) under uncultured Leptotrichia sp. RNAcentral describes it as "bacterial SSU rRNA". It matches the Rfam family "Bacterial small subunit ribosomal RNA", at positions 89 to 850 of the family's 1533-position model. The record is from RNAcentral. Lineage: Bacteria; Fusobacteriati; Fusobacteriota; Fusobacteriia; Fusobacteriales; Leptotrichiaceae.
CUAGCCAAGGCGGACGGGUGGGUAACGCGUAAGGAACUUGCCCUGCAGUCAGGGAUAACAGACGGAAACGACUGAUAAGACCUGGUAAAGUCAGGCGGACUCAUGUCCAGCCUGAUGAAAAGAGAUGCUGCAGGAGAGCCUUGCGUCCUAUUAGCUUGUUGGUGGGGUAACGGCCCACCAAGGCGAUGAUAGGUAGCCGGCCUGAGAGGGUGGACGGCCACAAGGGGACUGAGAUACGGCCCUUACUCCUACGGGAGGCAGCAGUGGGGAAUAUUGGACAAUGGGGGCAACCCUGAUCCAGCAAUUCUGUGUGCACGAUGAAGGUUUUCGGAUUGUAAAGUGCUUUCAGCAGGGAAGAAAAAAAUGACGGUACCUGCAGAAGAAGCGACGGCUAAAUACGUGCCAGCAGCCGCGGUAAUACGUAUGUCGCAAGCGUUAUCCGGAAUUAUUGGGCAUAAAGGGCAUCUAGGCGGCCAGAUAAGCCUGGGGUGAAAACUUGCGGCUCAACCGCAAGCCUGCCCUGGAAACUAUGUGGCUAGAGUACUGGAGAGGUGGACGGAACUGCACGAGUAGAGGUGAAAUUCGUAGAUAUGUGCAGGAAUGCCGAUGAUGAAGAUAGUUCACUGGACGGUAACUGACGCUGAAGUGCGAAAGCUAGGGGAGCAAACAGGAUUAGAUACCCUGGUAGUCCUAGCUGUAAACGAUGAUUACUGGGUGUGGGCAUGAAGAGUGUCCGUGCCGAA